RNAcentral lists this ribosomal RNA (478 nucleotides) under uncultured bacterium. RNAcentral's name for it is "partial 16S ribosomal RNA". It matches the Rfam family "Bacterial small subunit ribosomal RNA", at positions 28 to 523 of the family's 1533-position model. The record is from RNAcentral.
GACGAACGCUGGCGGCGUGCUUAACACAUGCAAGUCGAACGGUAAGGCCCUUCGGGGUACACGAGUGGCGAACGGGUGAGUAACACGUGGGUGAUCUGCCCUGCACUUCGGGAUAAGCCUGGGAAACUGGGUCUAAUACCGGAUAGGACUCCGGACUGCAUGGUCUGGGGUGGAAAGCUUUUGCGGUGUGGGAUGGGCCCGCGGUCUGUUAGCUUGUUGGUGGGGUGAUGGCCUACCAAGGCGACGACGGGUAGCCGGCCUGAGAGGGUGACCGGCCACACUGGGACUGAGAUACGGCGCAGACUACUACGGGAGGCAGCAGUGGGGAAUAUUGCACAAUGGGCGCAAGCCUGAUGCAGCGACGCCGCGUGAGGGAUGACGGCCUUCGGGUUGUAAACCUCUUUCAGCAUCGACGAAGCGAAAGUGACGGUAGGUGCAGAAGAAGGACCGGCCAACUACGUGCCAGCCGCCGCGGUAA